UACGGGAGGCAGCAGUGGGGAAUAUUGCACAAUGGGCGCAAGCCUGAUGCAGCCAUGCCGCGUGUAUGAAAAAGGCCUUCGGGUUGUAAAGUACUUUCAGUCGUGAGGAAGGUGUUAAGGUUAAUAACCUUAGCAAUUGACGUUAGCGACAGAAGAAGCACCGGCUAACUCCGUGCCAGCAGCCGCGGUAAUACGGAGGGUGCGAGCGUUAAUCGGAAUUACUGGGCGUAAAGGGCACGCAGGCGGUUAAUUAAGUUGGAUGUGAAAUCCCCGGGCUUAACCUGGGAAUGGCAUUCAAGACUGGUUAGCUAGAGUCUUGUAGAGGGGGUAGAAUUCCAUGUGUAGCGGUGAAAUGCGUAGAGAUGUGGAGGAAUACCGGUGGCGAAGGCGGCCCCUGGACAAAGACUGACGCUCGAUGUGCGAAAGCGUGGGGAGCAAACAGGGAUUAGAUACCCGU
RNAcentral lists this ribosomal RNA (457 nucleotides) under uncultured bacterium. Its description in RNAcentral is "bacterial SSU rRNA". It matches the Rfam family "Bacterial small subunit ribosomal RNA", at positions 340 to 789 of the family's 1533-position model. The record is from RNAcentral.